GCGGGGCAGCGGCGCGGCCUAGGCGGACGGCUCGACCCUCUCCCGGCUCCUCUUGGCCUCGCCGGCUCUCACCUCCGCGUCCCCCGCGCGGGUCCCGGCUUCCCACAGCGCCCCGAGCCCCGCACCUGCCCCAGCCGCUUCGGGCCCCAACCGCCGCAAGUCGGACCGGAGAGCGCGGAGAGCGCGGGCAGCGACGGCACGGCUCCGACCCCGCCACCCGGCCCGGCCCAGCCCUCCGGCCACUCCCUCCCGCCGCCGGGGACGACGGGUGCCUACGCGGCACCUUCCCGCGGCGCGACAGGAGCUGCCGAGCCCCGGCGCCGUGGAUCGGCCCCUCCGAACACCGCAGGCGGACCGACCGAACUGGCGCGGCGGAGAAGCAGCGACCCGAACCCCGCCGGAGACAACCAGGGCUCCCGCCUGUCCUGCUGCCGACUACAACUCCCGGCAGCCUCUGCGGCGAGGCGCGUGCGCACUGCUGCGCUGCGCUGUGAGCCUGCCCCCCGCCACGCGUUGCCACGUCUCCCGCAGCGGGGCCGGGGGCGUGCUUCCGCCCGAGCGGAGGGCGGUAUCCGCCCGUCUCUGAAAUGGCGGUGCGGAGUCUGGUGCUGGUAGUGCCACGUUUGCAGAUUCAGUCGCUAUGGCAAAAUACAGCCGUGAAAAGCCGUGUAAUCAUAACGUGAGAAGACGCUUAGCCACCGUCUGAAAAGUUUAACUGGUCAGCUCCAAUGCACUGCAGCUUGGAUGUUCACAAGCCUCUGUGUGACGCAAACUGUGCUCAGCAGCAGAACGUAACCCACGCUGGCCUUCCACACCAGACUGCGGAAGGACAGAGUCAGCUGAUAAUUAGCUUUUCUGGGAUAAAUUCAGCUAAGAAUGUGGAUCAGAUCCUGCUCACUGAUGCAAAUCAUUUGGAGCAACACAAUACUCAGGACAGCCACAAUUGGAACAAUGAAACAGUCUUCAUUUUCAGCUACAGAGCAUGCCUCAGUCACUCUACCUCCAGACUAAUUCUGAUCAGAAAUUUAAGAUGCUGAUGAGCUAAGGAAAAGAAGCCAGACAUACUCAACAG
Molecule: long non-coding RNA, 1072 nt
Organism: Numida meleagris (helmeted guineafowl)
Lineage: Eukaryota; Metazoa; Chordata; Aves; Galliformes; Numididae
Source: Ensembl